GACGAACGCUGGCGGCGUGCUUAACACAUGCAAGUCGAACGGAAAGGCCCUGCUUUUGUGGGGUGCUCGAGUGGCGAACGGGUGAGUAACACGUGAGUAACCUGCCCUUGACUUUGGGAUAACUUCAGGAAACUGGGGCUAAUACCGGAUAGGAGCUCCUGCUGCAUGGUGGGGGUUGGAAAGUUUCGGCGGUUGGGGAUGGACUCGCGGCUUAUCAGCUUGUUGGUGGGGUAGUGGCUUACCAAGGCUUUGACGGGUAGCCGGCCUGAGAGGGUGACCGGCCACAUUGGGACUGAGAUACGGCCCAGACUCCUACGGGAGGCAGCAGUGGGGAAUAUUGCACAAUGGGCGGAAGCCUGAUGCAGCAACGCCGCGUGCGGGAUGACGGCCUUCGGGUUGUAAACCGCUUUCGCCUGUGACGAAGCGUGAGUGACGGUAAUGGGUAAAGAAGCACCGGCUAACUACGUGCCAGCAGCCGCGGUGAUACGUAGGGUGCGAGCGUUGUCCGGAUUUAUUGGGCGUAAAGGGCUCGUAGGUGGUUGAUCGCGUCGGAAGUGUAAUCUUGGGGCUUAACCCUGAGCGUGCUUUCGAUACGGGUUGACUUGAGGAAGGUAGGGGAGAAUGGAAUUCCUGGUGGAGCGGUGGAAUGCGCAGAUAUCAGGAGGAACACCAGUGGCGAAGGCGGUUCUCUGGGCCUUUCCUGACGCUGAGGAGCGAAAGCGUGGGGAGCGAACAGGCUUAGAUACCCUGGUAGUCCACGCUGUAAACGGUGGGUACUAGGUGUGGGGUCCAUUCCACGGGUUCCGUGCCGUAGCUAACGCUUUAAGUACCCCGCCUGGGGAGUACGGCCGCAAGGCUAAAACUCAAAGGAAUUGACGGGGCCCCGCACAAGCGGCGGAGCAUGCGGAUUAAUUCGAUGCAACGCGUAGAACCUUACCUGGGUUUGACAUGGAUCGGGAGCGCUCAGAGAUGGGUGUGCCUCUUUUGGGGUCGGUUCACAGGUGGUGCAUGGCUGUCGUCAGCUCGUGUCGUGAGAUGUUGGGUUAAGUCCCGCAACGAACGCAACCCUUGUUCACUGUUGCCAGCACGUUAUGGUGGGGACUCAGUGGAGACCGCCGGGGUCAACUCGGAGGAAGGUGGGGAUGACGUCAAGUCAUCAUGCCCCUUAUGUCCAGGGCUUCACGCAUGCUACAAUGGCUGGUACAGAGAGUGGCGAGCCUGUGAGGGUGAGCGAAUCUCGGAAAGCCGGUCUCAGUUCGGAUUGGGAUCUGCAACUCGACCUCAUGAAGUCGGAGUCGCUAGUAAUCGCAGAUCAGCAACGCUGCGGUGAAUACGUUCCCGGG
Molecule: ribosomal RNA, 1343 nt
Filed under: uncultured bacterium
Lineage: Bacteria
Description: 16S ribosomal RNA
Rfam family: Bacterial small subunit ribosomal RNA
Source: RNAcentral